RNAcentral lists this ribosomal RNA (438 nucleotides) under uncultured bacterium. RNAcentral describes it as "bacterial SSU rRNA". It matches the Rfam family "Bacterial small subunit ribosomal RNA", at positions 338 to 794 of the family's 1533-position model. The record is from RNAcentral.
CCUACGGGCGGCUGCAGUGGGGAAUAUUGCACAAUGGGCGAAAGCCUGAUGCAGCAACGCCGCGUGAGCGAUGAAGGUCUUCGGGUCGUAAAGCUCUGUCCUCAAGGAAGAUAAUGACGGUACUUGAGGAGGAAGCCCCGGCUAACUACGUGCCAGCAGCCGCGGUAAUACGUAGGGGGCUAGCGUUAUCCGGAAUUACUGGGCGUAAAGGGUGCGUAGGUGGUUUCUUAAGUCAGAAGUGAAAGGCUACGGCUCAACCGUAGUAAGCUUUUGAAACUGAGAAACUUGAGUGCAGGAGAGGAGAGUAGAAUUCCUAGUGUAGCGGUGAAAUGCGUAGAUAUUAGGAGGAAUACCAGUUGCGAAGGCGGCUCUCUGGACUGUAACUGACACUGAGGCACGAAAGCGUGGGGAGCAAACAGGAUUAGAUACCCCAGUAGU